UCACAGUGUGGUUUAAUUUAUACAGGUCUGGAAGGCGAGCGACCUGCAAGACUCACAAGAGGGGAAGCUGACAGAGACACCUACAGGCGGAGUGCUGUGCCCCCUGGUGCCGACAAGAAAGCCGAGGCUGGGGCUGGGUCAGCAACCGAAUUCCAGUUUAGAGGCGGAUUUGGUCGUGGACGUGGUCAGCCACCUCAGUAAAAUUGGAGGGGGGUUAUUUUGUGUUGAAUAAACCUGUAGCCAGAAAAC
Molecule: long non-coding RNA, 249 nt
Organism: Propithecus coquereli (Coquerel's sifaka)
Lineage: Eukaryota; Metazoa; Chordata; Mammalia; Primates; Indriidae
Exons: 3
Source: RefSeq, a predicted model, not a curated record